This 1445-nucleotide long non-coding RNA is filed under the name Nicotiana benthamiana. Its description in RNAcentral is "long non-coding RNA (NBEN_LNC023591)". The record is from RNAcentral. Lineage: Eukaryota; Viridiplantae; Streptophyta; Magnoliopsida; Solanales; Solanaceae.
GUCAAACUGUUGCAGCAAAUCACAAAUAUAUUUGUGCUGAUUAAGGAUCAUCCCACCAGGAACAGAUGACAUCUGUAUGCCUAAAAAGUAAUGUAAGGAACCUAGGUCCUUAAUUUUAAACUGAUCAUCCAGAAACAGCUUCAGAGCAGCAAUUUCAUCACAGUCAUCCCCAGUAAGAAUAAUAUCAUCAACAUAAACAGCCACAAUCACAAUGGACCCAGGUGUACCUUUGAUAAACAGGGAAUAAUCAUUCAAAGAAUGCCUAUAGCCUCUGGAGUAUAGGGCAGAAGACAACUUGGCAUACCAUUGUCUGGAAGCCUGUCUGAGCCCAUUAGGGAUUUGUUUAACUUGCAAACAAGGGGAGCAGGAGAGGCAAGUGGGGCAGAAACAGAGACAGGAGCAGAAACAGUUAAACUUGGAGGAAGUUUCAUAUACACCUCCUCAUCCAAAUCACCAUGCAAGAAAGCAUUAUUAACAUCAAGUUGAAAUAAAUUCCAAUGAUUUUUCACAGCAAGGCAGGGGGGGCAGAAACAGAGGCAGGAGCAGAAACAGUUAAACCUGGAGGAAGUUUCAUAUACAUCUCCUCAUCCAAAUCACCAUGCAAGAAAGCAUUAUUAACAUCAAGUUGAAAUAAAUUCCAAUGNNNNNNNNNNNNNNNNNNNNNNNNNNCAAAGAGGAGGAAGAUGAACCAGAGAAGGCAGGUAGUUGACAGACAUAAUCCUUAAGAUAGGAAGGAGGAUUAUGCUGUCUUUGAGACUUUCUGGGAGCAUGAAUAGAAGGAGAAGAAGCCAAAACAGGAGGUGAGAUGGCAGGAUUGAAAGAAUAAGGGAAGGCAGAAUCAUUGGGGACAGGGACUGGAUAAGGCACUUGCACAGAUGUGGGAGAAGAGGGAGGAGAGAGGUGUAUGGGAGAAUUAGAAUCAUCAUCAUGUUCUCCAGAAAGAACAAAGGGAAAAGAUGAAGCAGGAGGAUGAGUAGAAGGAGACACAGAUUUAAAAGGAAAACAUGAUUCAUGAAAGAUGACAUCCCUGGAGACCAAAUACUUCUUUGAAGCAAGAUCAUAUAAUCUAUAACCCUUUUUGCCAAAAGGAUAUCCCAGGAAAAAAAGAUGACAUCCCUGGAGACCAAAUACUUCUUUGAAGCAAGAUCAUAUAAUCUAUAACCCUUUUUCCAAAAGGAUAUCCUAGGAAAACGCAAGGAAUGGCUCUUGGCUUUAAUUUGUCCCUUUGAGGGAUGGGGACAGUGGUAUAAGCAAGGCAAUCAAAAGUCCUCAAGUGAGUAUAGGUUGGAACUUUCCCAUAUAAGAUUUCAUGAGGAGACUUAUUAUGAAGUAAGCUGGUGGGUAUUCUGUUAAGUAGAUAGGUAGCAGUCAACAAACGAUCCCCCCAGAAAGAUACAGGCAUGCCAGAUUGAAAAAGCAAAGCCCUACAGGUUUCAAGGAGNNNN